Gavialis gangeticus (Gharial) is the source of this 147-nucleotide long non-coding RNA. RefSeq lists it as uncharacterized. The record is from RefSeq and is a predicted model, not a curated record. The transcript is spliced from 3 exons. Lineage: Eukaryota; Metazoa; Chordata; Crocodylia; Gavialidae.
GUUCAGUACUGGGAAUCAAUUUAGGACAUAUCCAAGGUUCCCUUCCCAAGGACCCAGACCAGCUACAGAGGAGUAUAGGUAUAGCCUUAGUACCCAUUGAGACCCAGUUCUAAUAUUGAAUGGGGUUAGAUUAGCCUUUCAAAGAGG